GUGUUGGCUGCACAUAUACUAAAAUUGGAACGAUACGGAGAAGAUUAGCAUGGCCCCUCUGCAAGGAUGACAAGCAAAUUCAUUAAGUGCUCCAUAUUUUU
Molecule: small nuclear RNA, 101 nt
Organism: Callithrix jacchus (white-tufted-ear marmoset)
Lineage: Eukaryota; Metazoa; Chordata; Mammalia; Primates; Cebidae
Source: Ensembl